Neoarius graeffei (lesser salmon catfish) is the source of this 119-nucleotide small nuclear RNA. RefSeq annotates it as U5 spliceosomal RNA. Lineage: Eukaryota; Metazoa; Chordata; Actinopteri; Siluriformes; Ariidae. The record is from RefSeq and is a predicted model, not a curated record. The transcript has a single exon.
CAGCUCAGGUUUCUCUUCACUGACACGUAAAUCUUCCGCCUUUUACUAAAGAUUUCCGGGGAGAGGAAUGUUAAUGAGCUCAACUUAUUUUUUGCAGGCUUUGCUCAAAUGUUAGAAAU